This is a non-coding RNA of Phrynosoma platyrhinos (Desert horned lizard), 68 nucleotides long. The record is from the annotation of a GenBank genome assembly. Lineage: Eukaryota; Metazoa; Chordata; Lepidosauria; Squamata; Phrynosomatidae.
GCAUGUGGGAGUGGUUUGACUGUUGGACUAUGGCUCUGGAGACCAGGGUUCGAAUCCCUGCUUGGCCA